AGUUGACUUUCAAAUAAUCCACUUGGGCUCAAGCUUAUCCUACCGAACACUGCCUCAUUGCUUGGACUGAAGUCCUUCCUUGUGUACAAGACUGGCCUAGCUAGGAAAAUGCCAGAGCUCACUUUGUCUUCUUCAUGAAACAAGAGCACCGCAUCCAUCAAUACAAUGCUCAUCACAUAUCACAUGCACAACCAACCUGCGUUUGAAAUCAUUAGAAAAUCUAAAGCACAUGCAACGCUAAUAACCUACCAUGAAUCCGCCC
RNAcentral lists this long non-coding RNA (262 nucleotides) under Elaeis guineensis (African oil palm). RNAcentral describes it as "long non-coding RNA (EGUI_LNC047462)". The record is from RNAcentral. Lineage: Eukaryota; Viridiplantae; Streptophyta; Magnoliopsida; Arecales; Arecaceae.